Molecule: unclassified non-coding RNA, 1690 nt
Organism: Rhipicephalus microplus (southern cattle tick)
Lineage: Eukaryota; Metazoa; Arthropoda; Arachnida; Ixodida; Ixodidae
Source: RefSeq, a predicted model, not a curated record
CGCCAAUAUGUUUGCGCCUCAUAAACUGUCCACAUGUGUGGUUCGCCAUCGUUCAGUGUUAGCUGUACGGCGUAAACUGUUGGCUCAUCGUCAUUCGUUUCGGGGGUCGCGCUGUGCCUGCACCGCUGAACUCACGCUGCACAAUUUCUGAACUUCGCGUGCGCAGUCGUGAACUGGUUCCAAUUGGUGCAGGUGAAUCGAACGGACCUACUGCCCUCGUUGUUCAGUGGUGGUCAGUUGUGUCAACGCAGUCGGCGUUGGUUGUGCGGUUGACUGUGCGGACCAUUCUAACCGUUGACAGCCGGCGGAUUCUGCUACCGUAUCGUGUUGGAGAUUGCAUGUGAUCUUCCAGUUGUGCCUGUCAAUUCUGUUGCACUUUUCGCGUUGUAGUUUGUUCGCAUUUAUUUCUCUGUCUAAGUGUGCUUGAAGUGUUCGUGUGCGGCUGCUGAAAAGCCAACCCUAACAUGACCCGUGCACUUGCCGGAGACUCAAUGUUGAAGUACCUCGCAGGGUCUUUCACAUUGAGCUCCAGGACACAUGUCGAGGUUCGCUCAUUCAGCGUUGUGCGGAUCGAGAAAUUGUUCUCUUUAAUUGCUCAUUCUCUGGAAGAUGUGCACGUGGUCAUUCUUCACGUUGGCACUAACAAUGUCGGUGAAGAACCCCUCGUGCUGAUUGCCAGGUUCCGAUCACUGAUCUCCAGAAUUCUUGAUGUCAAUCCGUCAAUCCGUGUUGUAGUGUCUGCAAUUCUGCCGAGACAAGCGAGUUUGCGCAAGUGCCAGUGGGCGCUGUCUGUCAGAGAAUUGGAGGCGUUCAACACGGAUGCCGGGGAGACGAAUGCCAUUUUGCAGGCGCUGUGCCACAAGAACGGCUACGGUUUCGUGGACGGCACAUGCGAGCUGAUGGGGAUGCUGAAGGCUGACGGCGUGCACCCGACGAAACAUGGUAGCCAGCUGUUGGCGUGCCUGCUACGUGCAGCCAUCAAGCAAGCAAGCAAGGACCUUGAGGCAAGCCACAAUGGAGCAUUACAGCAGCAGCACCAGAAAGAAAAGGACCACCAGAAGCUUCAAUUCCAGUACAGUGAUCAGUCAAAAGGGCUGGCACAGUAUUGGAAUAAUUGCAGUGCUCAUGUUGGUUACCAUUCACGAGACCAUAAUAAGGACCUGCUGCCAGCCAUCAUGUCCUGGUCCUGACCUGCCUUUGGGAGGCUGACUCAGUCGUCUAGGUUGGCGAGCGGGUUCCUGCUUCUGGUCACCAGCCACGAUGGUGCAGUGACCAGCCACCAUGGUGCAUGCAUGGAUGGGACCCGUCUUCUAAAGCGGCACAGGUUCGGAGGUGCCAGUUAGCUUGCCAGUAUCCAUUCAAAUGUUAUGACUGGCAGUGCAAGGACCAAGUCUGCAAUAGACGCUCAUUGGCGUACCAGCCAAAUGUGGUACGCGCCCAGCAGAAACGCAAGAGGUGUCUGGGUGUGCUGCAGGGAACACGCAUCAGCGUUGCUGGGACAGACAGUUCAUGUUUGAGGAGAGGCGCAUGCGCGUACCGAGGAUAUGAAAAGCGCGUCGCAUGUGCGCUCAGGGCUCUCUUUGUGCUUUCGUUACGGCCAGUCCUGUCUCCUGUAAAAGCGCAUCUCGACGCCUUGUGUUUUUUACACCUGUAAAUAUGUAAAUAAAUCGUGUGUUUCUGUCGUCAAGAA